This 239-nucleotide ribosomal RNA is filed under the name Acanthamoeba sp. AKSI013. RNAcentral's name for it is "partial 18S ribosomal RNA". It matches the Rfam family "Eukaryotic small subunit ribosomal RNA", at positions 941 to 1095 of the family's 1831-position model. The record is from RNAcentral. Lineage: Eukaryota; Discosea; Longamoebia; Acanthamoebidae.
UUCUGCGAAAGCAUCUGCCAAGGAUGUUUUCAUUAAUCAAGAACGAAAGUUAGGGGAUCGAAGACGAUCAGAUACCGUCGUAGUCUUAACCAUAAACGAUGCCGACCAGCGAUUAGGAGACGUUGAAUACAAAACACCACCAUCGGCGCGGUCGUCCUUGGCGUUCGUGUUCACGCACGAGCGCGAGGGCGGUUUAGCCCGAUGGCACCGGUGAAUGACUCCCCUAGCAGCUUGUGAGA